UGCCAGACUCCUACGGGAGGCAGCAGUGGGGAAUAUUGCACAAUGGGGGAAACCCUGAUGCAGCGACGCCGCGUGAAGGAAGAAGUAUCUCGGUAUGUAAACUUCUAUCAGCAGGGAAGAAAACAGACGGUACCUGACUAAGAAGCCCCGGCUAACUACGUGCCAGCAGCCGCGGUAAUACGUAGGGGGCAAGCGUUAUCCGGAUUUACUGGGUGUAAAGGGAGCGUAGACGGCAGUGCAAGUCUGGAGUGAAAGGCGGGGGCUCAACCCCCGGACUGCUCUGGAAACUGUACGGCUGGAGUGCAGGAGAGGUAAGUGGAAUUCCUAGUGUAGCGGUGAAAUGCGUAGAUAUUAGGAGGAACACCAGUGGCGAAGGCGGCUUACUGGACUGUAACUGACGUUGAGGCUCGAAAGCGUGGGGAGCAAACAGGAUUAGAUACCCCUGUAGAA
This 450-nucleotide ribosomal RNA is filed under the name uncultured bacterium. RNAcentral describes it as "bacterial SSU rRNA". It matches the Rfam family "Bacterial small subunit ribosomal RNA", at positions 329 to 795 of the family's 1533-position model. The record is from RNAcentral.